CAAAAGGCCUUUUUCAAGGCCACCACAUGAUACAAGAAAAGCUAUA
This is a non-coding RNA of Lingula anatina, 46 nucleotides long. The record is from Rfam. NCBI's taxonomy places the organism in Eukaryota, Metazoa, Brachiopoda, Lingulata, Lingulida, Lingulidae.